GAGGAAGCUGGCCUAGUACGACCCAUACGAUCCAGAGUUUAGUGACGACGAAGAAUAUGAGUAUGAUUCCGGAGAAGAUGUGUACAAGGGCAACGUCACGUCCUUCACAGCGAAGGAGGUGGAGAAGAUCAAGGCCAAGGGAGUUGCUUCCUUCUACAACCGUAAGAUCAAGAAGUGGCACUGCCCCUACUGCACCACCAAGCCAAAGCCAAAGGAUGGCCGCUUUGAUCACCUUGUGUCUCAUGCAGAGGAUGUAGCGAUUCGCGGGGAGGACUACAUGAUAAGUGGGUAGCAUGCUGCCCCCGUGAAGGCCCUGACUCCGGCGUUUAUGGUGUGAUGAACUGAAUCUAUGGUGAUGGUAGUAAUGUAUUAUGCUAUCUAUAUUUUUCUGUCCUUAAGUUUGCCUGUGGUGUAUGGUUAGUUCUGUUUAGAUGUUGUGAACUAUGAGUUUAGGUGCUGCAAUGAUCACACAUGUUGUUUCAGUGUUGCUUCACUGAUCAGACAUGCUGCUGUUUCUCACCAGUUUAUGUGCUGCAAUGACCAUGUUGUUUGAGUGUUGCUUCA
Molecule: long non-coding RNA, 564 nt
Organism: Aegilops tauschii subsp. strangulata
Lineage: Eukaryota; Viridiplantae; Streptophyta; Magnoliopsida; Poales; Poaceae
Source: RefSeq, a predicted model, not a curated record